UCGAGGAUCUUCGGCAAUGGGCGCAAGCCUGACCGAGCGACGCCGCGUGCGGGAUGAAGGCCUUCGGGUUGUAAACCGCCGUCGGAGGGGAGGAAAUGCCGGGAAGUAAUAAAUAAUCGACCCGGUUUGACCUAUCCUCAGAGGAAGUACGGGCUAAGUUCGUGCCAGCAGCCGCGGUAAGACGAACCGUACAAACGUUAUUCGGAAUCACUGGGCUUAAAGGGUGCGUAGGCGGCUUUGCAAGUCGGGUGUGAAAGCCCUCGGCUCAACCGAGGAAUUGCGCCCGAAACUGUUAAGCUUGAGGGACACAGAGGUAAGCGGAACUUAGGGUGGAGCGGUGAAAUGCGUUGAUAUCCUAAGGAACACCAGGAGCGAAAGCGGCUUACUGGGUGUCUUCUGACGCUGAGGCACGAAAGCCAGGGGAGCGAACG
This 431-nucleotide ribosomal RNA is filed under the name uncultured prokaryote. RNAcentral describes it as "bacterial SSU rRNA". It matches the Rfam family "Bacterial small subunit ribosomal RNA", at positions 355 to 774 of the family's 1533-position model. The record is from RNAcentral.